AAUCCCCAUCCCAGGAGGCAAGGGAUCCUCUCUGACGAUGAGGGUGUGCUGUUUGUGCCACAUACCUGAGGGACAGUGUGGCUGGAGGGGUGGGAGUCAGGCACUGACGAUGCACUUGCUGUUUACAGGUUGUUUUACGACUGGCUAUUGGAGCUCCUAAAAUGGCUCAGGAGCCAACCAACCAUUUUAGUCUAUGUUCUGGUUUGUUUAUUCAUUCAUUCAUUCAUUCAUUCAUUCAUUCAUGCAUUCAGUCAGUCAUUAAGCAUGUGUUACGUGCCUGUUGCAUGCAAAGAUACAUGGGGGAUUCAACCUUUCUACUUAACCUUAUCUCACCUCACUCCCUGCAGUGACCUCUCCUCCCCACUGCACUGAGCUUCUCACUGUCUCCGCUCUCCAAAAUGCCUAACACUCUCCGCCUCAGUGCCUUGACUCAAGCUAUGGCUGUUGCCAUCACUGCUGCCUCUCAUCCAUGAAACAAAGUAGCAUGUUAGAAAGAUCCCAGGUUCAGAGUCAGGAGGUAAGCAUUCGAAUCUUGGCUCUAACUCUCACUAGCUGUUAAGUUCUUUAGUCUACGUGAGCCCCAGUUUCCACAUCUGCCAGAUAGGAAUGACAUUAGGAUCUAUCACAGAAGGCUGUUGUGAGAAUAAAUACUAUGAGAUGUGUAAGAUAUCUAUUAUGGCUAAGUCAGUGCCCAGCCUGGAGUUGAAACUUAGUAACAAAUGUCUGUUGAAAGGACCUGAUGAAUUCUGGCCUGAGAGGUGGGAAACUUGAAUCUUAGUCACAGGAAUAUGUGCUUGAAUAAGUCACUGCUUUUCUCAAGGGGCUCCAAUCCCUUGAUUAAAAUUGCAGGGUUGGAUCACCAGAAUGCCAAGUAUUGACAUCCCUGGCUUCCCAUCCUGUGAUUCUGAACUGGAUCCAGGGACACUUGGCACACAGCCGGCUUCAUCUCCAUCUUCCCUCGGGGAAGGCAUCGCUAGUUGAUCAGAGUGUUCUAUCUGCUGAGCCCUCGGAAUCUCUCCACAGGGCACCUGCCAGUCAUCACCAAUCAAACCCGAGAUGACGGUUGAGAUCAAACAGACUUUUCAUUCCUAGUUGGUGCCUGGGUGAGUGACGAGGCCUACCAGUGCUGGAGGACACAGUCAAGGUGAUGGACGUGUGGGGGUGGGGGAGCGUACAGAACAGGGGUGUGAAUGUGGGGCGGUGGUCCAUUGGGGAUGCUCCGCAGGGCACAGACACCACUAUCAUGUCACUUUUGUCCCACUAGCCCUUCCUUAUGGCUUCACCUGGGCAGCCAUUAUAUCCAGCCCAGGGGAGAGGUGAAGGCAAGGGAAGGGCACCGAUUAUGAACCAGUUGAUGUGCUUGUUGAGUUUUCAUGGCUGAUAUCUUAAUCCUCAUUAUCAACCCUGCCAGGGAACUGGUCUUAGCUCCACUUCAAGGAUGAGGAAUAGCAGGCUCACAGCUUACUGAUCAUGAUGAUUAAUCAUAAAAUUAAUCACAGUAAUUGGCUUGGGUUGCACUCCAGCUUCACCCCUUUUGGCUGUGGGGUCUUGGGCAAGUCACUUAGUCAACCUGUGCCUCAGUGUCCUCAUUUGUAGAGUAGGCAUAAUAGCAAUAUCCACCUCAUUAUGAAGGAGUUAAUACAGAGGAAGUUUUUGAAACAUUAUUAGCAUUUAAUAAGAGGUCAGUAAACCAUUUUCAAGGCUGUUGGCAUGGAUUUCAUAUUGAUUUUGCUAUCCCCAGCAUCUCAGAGAAUGUCCUGUACAUAGUAGGUGCUCAUUAAAUGCUUUGCACCCACUUGUUGAGCAUUAUCAACUCCCCAGAAAAGUCCCACAUAGGUCUUCUUGUUGCUGAGAAAGUCCCACAUAGGUCUUUCUUGUUGCCAAAGAGGACAUCUCAAAGAAAAUAACGAAAAUAUACUGAGCCAAACAAAAAUGCAAGCACAACAUAUCAAAAUGUGUGAGAUGCAGCCAAAGCAGUGCUGAGAGGAAAUUUUAUAGCACUAAGAGGCCUACAUUAGAAAACAAGAAAGAUCUCAAUCAAUGAUCAAAGCCAUGCCCUCAGAAAAAGAAAAGUGAAAUAAGCCCAAAGCAAGAAGAAGAAAGGAAAUAAUAAAGAUAAAAGCAGAAGUCGAUGACAUUGAAAACAGAAAAAGAAAUAGAAAAAAAAAAAAUAAAAAAG
Molecule: long non-coding RNA, 2179 nt
Organism: Macaca fascicularis (crab-eating macaque)
Lineage: Eukaryota; Metazoa; Chordata; Mammalia; Primates; Cercopithecidae
Source: Ensembl